Molecule: non-coding RNA, 1591 nt
Organism: Oryctolagus cuniculus (rabbit)
Lineage: Eukaryota; Metazoa; Chordata; Mammalia; Lagomorpha; Leporidae
Source: RefSeq, a predicted model, not a curated record
UCUUUUUGAAUAUUAACUUGAAACAUCUGCCAAAAAUAUUUUACAACAUUGACAAGAAUUGGUUGAUGCACUUUGUUAUUUGAUAAGAAGAGUUGUGGGCUUUUUGUUUUGUUUUUUGGAGGUUGGCGUGAUUUUUCAUUUUGAAUUAUUGUUUGGUUUUUCUUCCCAUACAAUUCCAUUUUGAGCCACUGGUGCAUGCAAAUUGCCUUAUUUAUUACCCAAAGAUCAAGGUUCUAUGGUUUGUGUGUUUUCUCCGUUCCCUCAAUGUUAUUGACUUAUCCCCACAAAAAUGAUUUUGCGACACUCAGCUCUCCUUUGCUCCUUCCUAUUAGUCGUGUUUUCCCAUCUCUGGUGUUAGAUUGCCAUUGUGCCACCUUUGAAACAUGUUGCUUUCAUUUCUCCUGUUAUCAUCCAUAGUCUGACAACUGAUACAUUCAGAAAAUUGCUUUCCACUGUUUACCUACCUCCUUUUCCCAAUUCUUCUGCAAUUUGACUUUUCCUUCCCUGCAGAUACAAUACAUUGAGUAAUCAGAGAAGAUUCUUCUGGAAUCAGAACUGUUUCUCUCACUGACCCAUGGAGAGUUUCCCUGCUCUGGUGGUCUUCCUGACUUGACCAUUGUACAGUGCCUACUUCUACACACAGACUGAGGCUGGAAGUGGAGAUUGAAUUCCAUGCUUGUGUAAAGGCUCCGCUGAUGAUUCUGAUGUCUGUGGCUUUCCAUCUAUGUGACCAAACACAUCCCCACCAUCUCCAUAUGUCAAGAUGAGAAGGGAAUACCCAGCAUGUGUGUCAACCUCUUCCUUCCUUAAACUGUCAGCAUCAGCUGAGUGAUGCAGACAGUUCCUCUAUGAAGAACUGCAUGAAGACAGACGCUUCAUUUCAUAUGAGGCUAUGCAGAGGUUGUCUGUCAUCUCUCCCAGAUGAGGGAAUGCCUUUCAGUUAUUACAAACUUGGCUUUGAAACUGUGACCUACUGGUUUGCCUAACGCAAGAAACAAAUGCCCUGAAAUUGAUUUGCCAUAAGAUAUGAUGAGAUGCUCACCCUUGCCUGGAAGGAGUGGGAUAUUUCACCUGUGGGUGGUACUCCCUCACUAUCUAUCAGGUUUGCCACUGCUCUGAUGGGAAAAUAUCCUGGGAGCAGAGCUAGUGGAAGGCAAUCAUACGUAUCUGCCUGCCUAGGAUUCUUAGUAGCUGCUCGUUCAGCCUCUUACUCCCACCCACUCUAUCCUCUGCCUCACAAGUUGUCUAUUGCCAGCCAUUGUAGUGGAUCCAUUCAGAAGAAUCUUGAAUAUUCAUAGUAACCCUAAUUUACUAAUAUAUAUUCACUAAUGUCAGCGAUCUGUACAAGUGAUUCCUGAGCUUAUUACAGUAACAAGUUUCUCCAAUGCUACUGGGCAUAUUCUUCAUGUCUCUCUUUCCAGACUACUGACUCAAUUUAAGAUUACAUCCUUUGCUCCUUUGCGUUUAUUGCACUUGCCCUGUAAAAUCUAUUCCCUUCACAUUGGAGGAUGUCUAGAGACACAGGGGGCGAUCAACUGGGCACAGGAUAUAUUUGAUGCCAUUGCUUUAACGUGAUUCACUCUUCCUUUGA